AUUGAACGCUGGCGGCAGGCCUAACACAUGCAAGUCGAGCGGUAGAGAGGUGCUUGCACCUCUUGAGAGCGGCGGACGGGUGAGUAAUGCCUAGGAAUCUGCCUGGUAGUGGGGGAUAACGCUCGGAAACGGACGCUAAUACCGCAUACGUCCUACGGGAGAAAGCAGGGGGCCUUCGGGCCUUGCGCUAUCAGAUGAGC
This 200-nucleotide ribosomal RNA is filed under the name uncultured bacterium. RNAcentral describes it as "partial 16S ribosomal RNA". It matches the Rfam family "Bacterial small subunit ribosomal RNA", at positions 30 to 230 of the family's 1533-position model. The record is from RNAcentral.